CUCUUUGAUGUCGUUUUCUUUAGAUCCAAAAUAAAAUAGAUAAUACCUGUAGAUCGGUCCGAGGCGUGUAGUCACUGUCUUUGAAAGAGAUUCGCCUCCUUAUAUGCACCGAAUUCUGGCGAUCCCUUCCCAAGAUACAACGGUCCGUUGAUUUUGUAGACGUGCACAGUACUACAAAAUCUCUUGAACUCCGCAGGGAUUUUUCUGUAUGCUCGUACAAAACUGAUUCAGAGCCAAAAGAUGA
Molecule: long non-coding RNA, 244 nt
Filed under: Phoenix dactylifera (date palm)
Lineage: Eukaryota; Viridiplantae; Streptophyta; Magnoliopsida; Arecales; Arecaceae
Description: long non-coding RNA (PDAC_LNC014029)
Source: RNAcentral